CCGGCGGAACGGUUUGAGUAACACGUGGGUACCUGCCUGUAAGACUGGGAUAACUCCGGGAAACCGGGGCUAAUACCGGAUGGUUGUUUGACCGCAUGGUUCAAACAUAAAAGGUGGCUUCGGCUACCACUUACAGAUGGACCCGCGGCGCAUUAGCUAGUUGGUGAGGUAACGGCUCACCAAGGCAACGAUGCGUAGCCGACCUGAGAGGGUGAUCGGCCACACUGGGACUGAGACACGGCCCAGACUCCUACGGGAGGCAGCAGUAGGGAAUCUUCCGCAAUGGACGAAAGUCUGACGGAGCAACGCCGCGUGAGUGAUGAAGGUUUUCGGAUCGUAAAGCUCUGUUGUUAGGGAAGAACAAGUACCGUUCGAAUAGGGCGGUACCUUGACGGUACCUAACCAGAAAGCCACGGCUAACUACGUGCCAGCAGCCGCGGUAAUACGUAGGUGGCAAGGUUGUCCGGAAUUAUUGGGCGUAAAGGGCUCGCAGGCGGUUUCUUAAGUCUGAUGUGAAAGCCCCCGGCUCAACCGGGGAGGGUCAUUGGAAACUGGGGAACUUGAGUGCAGAAGAGGAGAGUGGAUCCACGUGUAGCGGUGAAAUGCGUAGAGAUGGGAAGAACCAGUUGGCCAAGCGAUCUUC
This 643-nucleotide ribosomal RNA is filed under the name uncultured bacterium. Its description in RNAcentral is "bacterial SSU rRNA". It matches the Rfam family "Bacterial small subunit ribosomal RNA", at positions 95 to 729 of the family's 1533-position model. The record is from RNAcentral.